Molecule: transfer RNA, 73 nt
Filed under: Candidatus Dadabacteria bacterium
Lineage: Bacteria; Pseudomonadati; Thermodesulfobacteriota; Candidatus Dadabacteria
Also listed under: 2 other names
Description: tRNA-Phe
Rfam family: tRNA
About the family: Transfer RNA (tRNA) molecules are approximately 80 nucleotides in length. Their secondary structure includes four short double-helical elements and three loops (D, anti-codon, and T loops).
Source: RNAcentral
GCCCGGAUAGCUCAGUUGGUAGAGCAGAGGACUGAAAAUCCUCGUGUCGGUGGUUCGAUUCCGCCUCCGGGCA